This 501-nucleotide ribosomal RNA is filed under the name uncultured bacterium. Its description in RNAcentral is "partial 16S ribosomal RNA". It matches the Rfam family "Bacterial small subunit ribosomal RNA", at positions 28 to 522 of the family's 1533-position model. The record is from RNAcentral.
GAUGAACGCUAGCGGCAGGCCUAACACAUGCAAGUCGAGGGGCAGCACAGAAACAGCAAUGUUUUGGUGGCGACCGGCGGACGGGUGCGUAACGCGUAUGCAACCUACCUUUAACAGGGGGAUAACGGAGAGAAAUUUCCACUAAUACCCCAUAACAUCGAUCAAGGCAUCUUGAUUGGUUGAAAACUCCGGUGGUUAAAGAUGGGCAUGCGUUGUAUUAGGUAGUUGGUGAGGUAAUGGCUCACCAAGCCUACGAUACAUAGGGGGACUGAGAGGUUAGCCCCCCACACUGGUACUGAGACACGGACCAGACUCCUACGGGAGGCAGCAGUGAGGAAUAUUGGUCAAUGGGGGCAACCCUGAACCAGCCAUGCCGCGUGCAGGAAGACGGCUCUAUGAGUUGUAGACUGCUUUUAAACAGAGAUAAAGCACAGUAUGUAUACUGUGUUGAAGGUACUGUAAGAAUAAGGAUCGGCUAACUCCGUGCCAGCCGCCGCGUAA